AUUAUUGAGGUGAGCAAAUGAUGAAUGAAGCCUAAAAAAAUGAUACGGGAUAAUUUAUACGGUGCAUGUAAUGUGGGAUAUAAUUUUUCAUAUUAUAGGUCAGGGAGCUAAGUCAAGAUUGAUGGUGAUACUUUUUUUAAGAUGCGUUGGGCAUGAUUCAGGUGGAAAAUGGAUAGGUAAGGAUAAAUUAGUGACCAAGGCAUUACCACAAAUG
Molecule: long non-coding RNA, 214 nt
Filed under: Elaeis guineensis (African oil palm)
Lineage: Eukaryota; Viridiplantae; Streptophyta; Magnoliopsida; Arecales; Arecaceae
Description: long non-coding RNA (EGUI_LNC006106)
Source: RNAcentral